Acinonyx jubatus (cheetah) is the source of this 569-nucleotide long non-coding RNA. RefSeq lists it as uncharacterized. The record is from RefSeq and is a predicted model, not a curated record. NCBI's taxonomy places the organism in Eukaryota, Metazoa, Chordata, Mammalia, Carnivora, Felidae. The transcript has 2 exons.
CAAUUACAAAAAUGUUAACAAUAUUUAUCUCUGGGUAAGGGGACUUCAGGUGUCAUUCAUUUCCUUCGUUCCACAUUUCUGUAUUUUUCCAGACCUUUAUGGAGUAGGAAAGUAUUGCUUAUGAAGUCAUAAAGAGGGAAGAGAAAUACAUAUAUUCAUUCCCCUGGCAGAAAACACAGUUUCACCCAGUCACAAUUGCAUGGGAGGGCGUGGCUGGUCUUGUGGUUCCCUCGGCCGUGCUGAAAGACCCACGAUACCCCUGAGCAGGAGCAGACUCAGCCCGUGCAUGGGAGAGGCCGGAGCAAUCGAGGACUUCUAGGGGCCCCCGUAAACAAUGGCAGAUGGAGGCUGGUGGCUGAUGUCCAGCUCCCCCGCCCCUCCGUGCCACGGUGCUGAGUUGAUCUCUGCAGUCUGUCGGGAACCCCAGUCGGAGCGAGCCCCGGGUGCCCAUCGUGGUAGACUGCUCGUGCGUGUACCUGACAUCCGUCUCUUUCUUCCCUGCCUCACGUUCCCAGUCCCUGUGAUCAUUUCCCAAAUAAAGUCCCUGCACGUAAAUCCUUAUGCCAUAA